UGGCCAAUCGCCGCGCGGCUUGUUCCGGCGUGGUUGCGAGAGGGGAAGCGUCUCUGCUGCCCGGGCGGAAUCGCUUCUUUCUCCCCGCUUCCAGGCGGCGGCGGCAGCGGCGGCGAAGACUCUCCCUCGCCGUCCUUUUCUGCGUACGCUGCUCAACCCUCUUCCGCAUACAUGGCGCUUCGCUUCAGGAGCGGCCGGAGGGGCCAAUUCAAACAUAUAGCUCAUGGCCUGAUCCCUGCAGCUACCAUAGCACCUAAAGCUGCCGUCCCCCGCACCCCUCCCCCUCGUAGUCCAAACCCUUCUCCAGAAAGGCCCAGCAGCAUCUUCUAGCAAAUUUAUACAAUCAGGGCUGAAAAUCCGCUCUGGCCGCAGCUAUU
This is a non-coding RNA of Podarcis muralis (Common wall lizard), 377 nucleotides long. The record is from RefSeq and is a predicted model, not a curated record. NCBI's taxonomy places the organism in Eukaryota, Metazoa, Chordata, Lepidosauria, Squamata, Lacertidae.